RNAcentral lists this ribosomal RNA (768 nucleotides) under uncultured bacterium. RNAcentral's name for it is "bacterial SSU rRNA". It matches the Rfam family "Bacterial small subunit ribosomal RNA", at positions 8 to 764 of the family's 1533-position model. The record is from RNAcentral.
AGAGUUUGAUCCUGGCUCAGGAUGAACGCUAGCGACAGGCUUAACACAUGCAAGUCGAGGGGCAGCAUUGCAAUUGGCUUGCCAAUUGCAGAUGGCGACCGGCGCACGGGUGAGUAACGCGUAUGGAACCUGCCCUCUACAGGGGAAUAGCCCAUGGAAACGUGGAUUAAAACCCCAUAACUCCCGGACCGGGCAUCCGGUCCGGGUUAAAUCCGAGGAGGUAGAGGAUGGCCAUGCGUCCUAUUAGCUUGUUGGCGGGGUAACGGCCCACCAAGGCGAUGAUAGGUAGGGGUUCUGAGAGGAAGGUCCCCCACAUUGGAACUGAGACACGGUCCAAACUCCUACGGGAGGCAGCAGUGAGGAAUAUUGGUCAAUGGCCGGAAGGCUGAACCAGCCAAGUCGCGUGAGGGAAGACUGCCCUAUGGGUUGUAAACCUCUUUUAUUCGGGAAGAAUAAGUUGCACGUGUGCAACGAUGCCUGUACCGAAUGAAUAAGCAUCGGCUAACUCCGUGCCAGCAGCCGCGGUAAUACGGAGGAUGCGAGCGUUAUCCGGAUUUAUUGGGUUUAAAGGGUGCGUAGGCGGUCGAUUAAGUUAGUGGUAAAAUGUCAUGGCUAAACCUUGGCCUGCCAUUAAUACUGGUCGACUCGAGUACAGACGAGGUAGGCGGAAUAAGUUAAGUAGCGGUGAAAUGCUUAGAUAUAACUUAGAACUCCGAUAGCGAAGGCAGCUUACCAGACUGUCACUGACGCUCAAGCACGAGAGCGUGG